UACGUAGGGCGCAAGCGUUGUCCGGAAUUAUUGGGCGUAAGGAGCUCGUAGGUGGUUUGUUACGUCUGCUGUGAAAACCUAGGGCUUAACCCUGGGCCUGCAGUGGAUACGGGCAGACUAGAGGUAGGUAGGGGAGAAUGGAAUUCCCGGUGUAGCGGUGAAAUGCGCAGAUAUCGGGAGGAACACCGGUGGCGAAGGCGGUUCUCUGGGCCUUACCUGACACUGAGGAGCGAAAGCGUGGGGAGCGAACAGG
This 253-nucleotide ribosomal RNA is filed under the name uncultured bacterium. Its description in RNAcentral is "partial 16S ribosomal RNA". It matches the Rfam family "Bacterial small subunit ribosomal RNA", at positions 524 to 776 of the family's 1533-position model. The record is from RNAcentral.